GGCCUUUUGGGGGGAGAAAAGUUGGGGGAAACGUUCCCCACCCUUCCCCGAAGGUAUUGCUCCCAUUUUUUCUUCCUUUAACCGUGCACAUUUGUAGAUAUUAGGGAUUCUUGGUGAUUAGGGUUUGGUUGUUGAUUUGAAAAAUCAUGUCGUAGUUGAUAGUUUUCUCAUGAUUAGGGCUUUAGAUGAUGCAUAGAUGGUACUCUGCUCUCGAUUUGGACGUGAGGUAGUACGUGCAUGCAUCGAUUAAUAUGAUUUCUAGGAUUGAGUAGUGGGGAUGUUAAUAUGGCUUUCACUCAUGGAUACUAGGCACCGUGAAGAAUUGUUUUUGUUUUUCAUCUAGAUUGGUGUUACCACAGCCAUCUAUUAGCAUUGCUACCUGGUCCAAAUCCUAGUAUGAGGACAAGUAGAGUUUUGAGAGAGAAACAAUUACUUAUACUCCUUUGGAGUUGAGCUUAUUAAAUUUGCAGUCAGGUUCGUAAAAAUCUGAUCAUCUUGUCAUGGUUGGUUCAAGAUCCAUGUAGUUGUUCUUAGGAUAAGGUGCAAGCUCAUGUGAUGUAAUACUCGUAAUAUUGUUUCAAGAUCCAAGGGUUGCUAGGCAAAAGUAGGGUUAUUAGAUUAUAACAUCUACCAAAGUCUUAGCUAAUAAUGGAUGGUUGUUUACUUAUCCUCCCUCCAUUUUUUUACACAUCAUAUUAGGUUUGUCAUAAAUCAAACUUAUCUAACUUUGAUCAAAUUUAUAGGAAAGAUAUAAUAGCAUCUACAAUACCAAAUUUGUUUCAUUGAAUCUAUUAUGGAAUAUAUUUUGAGACAUAUAUUUGGUAGUAUAGAUUUUGAGACAUCUAUAUGUGAAUAUAUUAAGAAUUCGGUCAAAGUUGAAUUGAGUUGUGGGGAUGUUAAUAUGGGUUUCACUCAUGGAUACUAGGCACUGUGAAGAAAUAUUUUUGUAGUUCAUUUCUUUGUAUAAGUGAUGAAGGUACUCCGAUUUUUUUUUGUUGUAGAUGGACGAAUUAGUUCGGGUUUUUCAUGGUGGUAUGGUUAAGGAAACUGGAGAGUUUGAGAAUAUGGUAGAGGAUAUCAAACUGUUCGAUAGUGCUCCAUUGUUAAAGGAUUUGGUAGACCGGGUGGUUUCAAAACAUUCAUGUGGAAUUGAUGAAAUAUCUCUGAGGGGUAGAUUUGAUUGUGGUAAAGCUAGAGCACAUUAUGUUUUGAUGACAUUGGAAUCUGAGAUGCAUUGGAGAAAGUACAAGGAUAUAGUAGCUCAUGCAAAUGUGGUUUGUUUAGAGGUGGUUGUUGAAAUAACCCGAGAACAAGAUUAGAAGAACCAGUUGGGAUAGUAGAUGAAGUUCCAUUUCGUAUUGAGAAUAUAACUCAAGAGUCAACUAUUGUAGAAGAUGUCCCAAAUCUCACUUGUCCUAGUGAAAUUGUUGCGGAUUAUGAUAUGGCCGUCGCUUGCGAUCAUUUCGACAGUGGUACCUUCGAGGAGGAGGAUGAGAGGGGUGCUGGAGAGGAUGAUGAUGUUUCUUUAGGUUCAGAGGACAAUGAAUACGAUAGUAGUGAUGAUGAGGACGAUGAUGAAGGCACUGCGGAAGAAGAACCGGAGGGUAAUGCUAGGGCGCCCCAAGCAGAGCAGGAGGACCUCAGAUCUGGCGAGUGCACUUGCAUGACACCACAGCUAUUACACCUUCCAUGCUCGCACCUAAUAACGGCAUGUAGAGCUCGAGGACUUUGUUUCAAAAGCCCCACUUAUUUGAGCCUGUACUACGCUCGGUCGAACACAAUCGACAUAUGGGAGUCCAGUUUUGAGCCUUAUCUCGAUCCGUCCCAAUGGCCCGAGUACAAGGGACUAGAGUACGUGCUGGAUGCGUCGCUAUUGAAACCUAAAAAAGGAAGGAGGCGGAAGAAAAGGCUCAAAGGUGACAUGGACGAGUCGCAAGGUCGGGCUAGUGCGGACUAUGGCACCAGUGAUUUCGAUGAGGACAGGAGCCAAAACCGUUGCUCCAGGUGCCAUAGAUUUUGUUCUCAGUGCAAGUGUAAGAAGAAAAAAAUCUAAACGAAAAAAAACAUCCACAACAAGCAUUAGAAAGAGGACUAGGCAUAUCACAUGGAGAGAGGUACAAUAGUUUGUGCUUAGCAAAAAUAUUAAUAUAUACAUACAGUGUUUUGCUUAUCAUUAUUAGUUGAGUUUGUCUUGGUCUUUAUUUUUGUCUUAUACUCAUGAAGUUUUGAUUCAUCAUUGCUGGAUGGCGCACCCCACGUUCCCCCUACUGGAGACGUUGUACGACUCCAAGCACCGAGCACACGUCCUAGUUGACCAUGCCGAGGUGUUGGCGCCCCUCCGCGCACGUACCCACCCCCCCUUCGGUGGGAUGAGCGGUAUGUGCCGUACCUUCGGCGGGCUGGGAUGCUUCCUCUUGCUCGAGUGGUGUGUGCGGGCCUCCCAGCGAUGGAUGCGCCUCUGCUAACUACUUUUGUGGACCAUUGGAGGCCGGAGACACAUUCUUUUCAUUUACCUUGCGGGGAGGUCAGCAUCACUUUGCAAGAUGUGGCGAUGAUUCUUUGGCUGCCUUUAGAGGAAAUUGUAGUGACCGGCAUUAUACAGACUGAUGGCUGGAGAGAUAUGGUAGAAGCACUGAUUGGGAUUCGGCCUCCAGAACCACCUGAGGGGGUCAAGGACAAGAAGACCUCAGGGGUUAGCUCGUCAUGGUUGAGGCAGAAUUUUAACCAUUGUCCUCAAGGAGCACCGCAGGGGGUUGUAGAGCGGUAUGCUCGCGUAUGGUUGUGGUACCUGUUUGGAGGUUUUCUGUUUCCUGAUGGUUCGGGAAACACGAUUUCAUGGAUGAUACUUCCAAUUGUGGGCCAGCAGUGGGAGAACAUUGCUCAGUAUAGUUGGGGGUCGGCAACUUUAGCUUGGAUGUACCGGCAGCUUUGUGACGCAUGUCGGCGGAUUGCUAAUGAUUCAAACCUGGACAGGUAAGUCUCCUACAAAUGCCUUCAUUGCCUCCAUUUGAGUAGCUCUAACACCCAAAAUCUCCAUGCUCGCGGAUGACACAUCGUUCUAAACGUUGGGCACCUUGUGUGGCAGAUCGGCAACUAGGGCCUGCAUUGCCUCCAUCUGAGCCUCCUGAGCUAAAUCCUCCAUCUUUUCCAUUUCUUCCAUCCUCUUGUUAGCCUCCAAGUUCUGAAAAUAUUCUUCCCAUGAACCCUUUCGGUAUUUAGCUUCCGGAUCAACAGUAAAACCUUUCUUUGCUCUUUCCUCCCUUAACCUCUGCCUCUCCAUCUCCUCCUCCUUCUCCUUCUUCUCAUAAUUUGCCAAAAGCUCCCUAUCUAUGAGGGGCCGUGGGUACUUGCUUCGGUUCCUCCUCCAAUAAACAAUGCAAUCCUCAAGAGUUGCCUUUUCUGCUACCUACUUUCCAUACUCACGCCGUAGGUCUUGGAGUACAGGCCCUGACAGAAAUGACUCAAGGGGCAAAGUAACUUGGUAAUCCUUCCUUGUCUUCAAUUUUCUAUUUAAAGUGUCUCGAGAUUUCCAAGGCUCUUUUGUUCUGCCCAAUUGCAACAUUAGCUCAUACUGGCCUUCGAACCACUCCCAAUCACAUGUCCUUCCCUCCUGAAAAAUUAUUGAGAGCCAAA
This is a long non-coding RNA of Panicum virgatum (switchgrass), 3633 nucleotides long. RefSeq lists it as uncharacterized. NCBI's taxonomy places the organism in Eukaryota, Viridiplantae, Streptophyta, Magnoliopsida, Poales, Poaceae. The record is from RefSeq and is a predicted model, not a curated record. The transcript has 2 exons.